GAAUGUUCAUAGCAGCUUUAUUCAUAAUAGCCAAAACUGGAAACAGCCCAAAUGCAUAGUAACAGAAUGAGUAAUUUAUACAAUUCAAUACUGUAUACAACAGUAUGAAUGAACGAACUACAACAUGCAACAAUACAGAUGAGUUGUAUAGACAUACUGUUGAGUCAAAGAAGCCAGACACAAGAGUGCAUAUUAUUUCAUUUAUUUGAAGUUGAAAAACAGGCAAAAUAAAUCUAUGCUGUUGAAUUAAUAGACCAUCCUUGGGAUAGUGGUAUAGUAACUGGAAGAGAACAUGCAUGGGGCUUCUGGAGUACUGGUGAUGUUCCAACUCUUAAUUUCAUACUAGUUUUUGCAUGUAUUCACGGUGUGAAAAAUCACACCUGUACACAAUUUGUGUGAUUUUCUGUAUGUAAAUUAUACUUCAAUAAAAAAUUUACCAAAAAGCAAACAAACAGCAAGUGAGAUAUCACUACACACGUAUUAAAAAGCCUAAAAUUAAAAGAGAAAUCAAUCAAUACCAAGUGUUUUAACUUUAAAAAUUAAGGAAUGUAGGUGUUAAGUGGUACAAGAGAUUCCCACUAAGAAAAAAGUGGGCUUUGUAAGGGAAACUGAACUUAAAGGUAUUGAAAAACAGAUGAACAGCCGGGCACAGUGGCUCACGCCUGUAAUCCCAGCACUUUGGAAGGCCAAGGCGGGCGGAUCACAAGGUCACGAGUUCAUGACCAGCCUGACCAACAUGGUGAAACACCGUCUCUACUAAAAAUAACAACAACAAAAAAGCCGGGCGAGGUAGCAGGCGCCUGUAAUCCCAGCUACUCAGGAGGCUGAGGCAGAAUUACUUGAACCUGGGAGGCGGAGGUUGCAGUAAGCCAAGACCAUGCCACUGGACUCCAGCCUGGGCAACAGAGCAAGACUCAAAAAAAAAUGGACACACCCAACUUUUUGGAUAAUGCCCCUCUCUCAUCCUUGGCAUGAGAUUACUGAUUACGAAUUACUGAGGGAUUUGUUGGAGACUGACACUAGGAGAGGAAUGUGAACUAUUACAGUGAAAGCUGGACUAGUAAAACUUACCCAUAAGAAUGCACCCAUUUGAGACAGGCACAAGACAUUACAACGCUCCUCUAGGUGUGUGUUGAAUAGUUAGUUCUUCAGCUUUGCUUUGCAUUUCUGCUGUUUGCAAGACUGCCUCACAGAGGGUCAAUCCUUCCCUUUUUCCUCUCCCUUUUCUAUUUAUUCAUUCAACAUAUAUUUGUCUAGACACUGUGCUAACCACUAGGAAUAUAUUAAUCACAAGUAAUAGAUGUGGUCCCUGCUCUUGAGUUUCAUUCUAAUUUUUUAAAAAACCCACAUUAAUAAUCACACGUAUCAAUGAGUAUGACUGUAGUGCUACGAAGAAGAGAUUCCUGGUUUUGACAGCCUAUCGGCCUGGUUAAGAAAGAAAGGGUAGGCUUUCUGGAGGAAGUGACACAAGUUGAAAUCGAAGGAUGAAGAGAAGUUAACUAGGGAACCAAAUAGGUGGGGAGCAUGACUAGUAAGAGGAACAAAGUCCAAUGUGGUUGGAACAGAGAAAAUAAGGGGACAUAUAGCAGAGGCUGGACAGAUCAGCAAGGGUCAGGCUAUCUCUGGCCUUGUGGACUGUGUUAAAAAGUUUUGUCAUUAUCCUAAGGGCAAGUAAUGCCAGAAAUGGUUUUAAGUUGAGAAGUGCCCUGAUUAUAUGUGUGUUUUGAAAAAAACCCAAUAUGGCUGUUGUAUGAACAAGUGAUUGGAAAGAGAUAAAAGUGGAUGAAGGGUAGACAGGAGGAUACUGCAGUAAGCCAGGAGCAAGGUGAUGGAAGCUUGGAUUGGCAUGGUAGCUGUCAAGAUGGAGAGAAGUAAAACUAUUCAAAAGAUAUUUAGAAGGCACAUGGGCACUAACAGUAGCUAUAAAAUAUGUUCCAUCUUUAUUUCUAAACAGAACAAAUAGACUAAUGCAUUUACAUCCGAUUCAGGAGUAUGCACGUUCUUAACCUUGGCUAUUAGUCUUGAGUAGCACAUUUCUUCCUAGGGAAAAAGUUAUGUGACCAGAUUGUACCUUAAUUGUGGGUGGGAUAUUCAGAAGCUGCUAAGUAUGAAUGUGCUCAAGAAGAGAACUGAGAAUUGCCUUCAAGUUGCAAAAGAGAGGGGGACAAGGCUAUGGAACCACCAAUGAAGUAUUAACACCCAAAAGGCAUUUAAAGAAAGAGAAAAUAGACAAGUGUACAAACAGAAGGGCAAGCAAGAGGCUGCUAUCUGUGUGGGACAAGUUUAAAUAGGACUAUUCAGAUAAACCAAAGCUAGGACAAUGCUUCUCAAGACCUACAGAGAUUUCUGGAAAAUGAGCCAUCAAGACAUUUGAAUGAAGACUACAGACUCCUCAGGAAGUGAGAAGCUCUUGAGGAAAGAUGUCCUUACACAUUCAGGUGAGUGCUUAAAACAAAGCAGCAUAUACUUCACUGAGGAGUACUGCCAUAUUUCUGAUCCCCAUGCUGGGGGAGUUGGUGAGGGAACAGUAGGGCCAUUAUGUUGCAGGGGCAAUUGUAUUCCCAGGUGAGAGGGGAUAAAAGAGCAAACACUAAGGCUGUCUCCAGAGGUGCUUGGCUAACAGUGAGAAGAUAAAGCUGCUUUGAUUUCCCCUGGGGAACUAGAUUCUACCAAGGGCUACUCCUGCUGCUCAAGGCAAAGAGCUGGGUCACCACUCAAAGGAAAAAUACUGAGGGUCAGUCCAGGAUGGGGACAAUGGCAGGGCAGAUCACAGCAUUUCCAGCACGUAUGAAAACAACUGUUUAGGCUGCUUUCAUACUGCUGUAUAAAACCCCCCCAAGACUGGGUAAUUUAUAAAGGAUCUUGUUUGACAGUUCUGCGUGGCUGGGGAGGCCUCAGGAAACUUAAAAUCAUGGCAGAAAGUGAAGCAGGCACGUUUUACGUGGCAGCAGGCGAGACAGGGUUUGUGUAGGACGCAAAGGGGGAAGAGCCCCUCAUAAAGCCAUCAGAUCUCAUGAGAACUCUCACAAGAACAGCAUGGGGGAAACUGCCCCCAUGAUCCAGUCACCUCCCACCGAGUCCCUCCCUCAACCUGGGGACGGGGAUUAUGAGGAUUACAAUUACAGAUGAGAUUUGGGUGGAGAAACAGCCAAACCAUACCAACAAUUUUGUCAACCAGACCCCAGUGGCACCUGGGACCUUGGGACUGACCAAGCUGGUGCUACAGAAGCUUUUAUGGAGAGUGGAUAUAAAGUUCUGGGGGAAAGCUAAGUUUGGGGGGAUGAGUAAACUAAAGUAACGAGAAU
This 3305-nucleotide long non-coding RNA is filed under the name Homo sapiens (human). RNAcentral's name for it is "non-protein coding lnc-RPGRIP1-2:1". Lineage: Eukaryota; Metazoa; Chordata; Mammalia; Primates; Hominidae. The record is from RNAcentral.